RNAcentral lists this ribosomal RNA (524 nucleotides) under uncultured bacterium. RNAcentral's name for it is "partial 16S ribosomal RNA". It matches the Rfam family "Bacterial small subunit ribosomal RNA", at positions 28 to 523 of the family's 1533-position model. The record is from RNAcentral.
GACGAACGCUGGCGGCGUGCCUAAUACAUGCAAGUCGAGCGCAGGAAACUGACGGAACUCUUCGGAGGGAAGGCAGUGGAAUGAGCGGCGGACGGGUGAGUAACACGUAAGGAACCUGCCUCAAGGAUUGGGAUAACUCCGAGAAAUCGGAGCUAAUACCGGAUAGUUCAACGGACCGCAUGGUCCGCUGAUGAAAGGCGCUCCGGCGUCACCUUGAGAUGGCCUUGCGGUGCAUUAGCUAGUUGGUGGGGUAACGGCCCACCAAGGCGACGAUGCAGAGCCGACCUGGGAGGGUGAUCGGCCACACUGGGACUGAGACACGGCCCAGACUCCUACGGGAGGCAGCAGUAGGGAAUCUUCCACAAUGGACGAAAGUCUGAUGGAGCAACGCCGCGUGAGUGAUGAAGGUUUUCGGAUCGUAAAACUCUGUUGUAAGGGAAGAACACGUACGAGAGGAAAUGCUCGUACCUUGACGGUACCUUACGAGAAAGCCACGGCUAACUACGUGCCAGCCGCCGCCGUAA